This 235-nucleotide ribosomal RNA is filed under the name uncultured bacterium. Its description in RNAcentral is "partial 16S ribosomal RNA". It matches the Rfam family "Bacterial small subunit ribosomal RNA", at positions 96 to 334 of the family's 1533-position model. The record is from RNAcentral.
UGGCGGACGGGGGAGUAAUGUCUGGGAAACUGCCCGAUGAGGGGGAGUAACUACUGGAAACGGUAGCUAAUACCGCAUAACGUCGCAAGACCAAAGAGGGGGACCUUCGGGCCUCUUGCCAUCGGAUGUGCCCAGAUGGGAUUAGCUAGUAGGUGGGGUAACGGCUCACCUAGGCGACGAUCCCUAGCUGGUCUGAGAGGAUGACCAGCCACACUGGAACUGAGACACGGUCCAG